UAGAUAACUGAGCGUGCCUGGGGCCUCUCUU
This 31-nucleotide non-coding RNA is filed under the name Homo sapiens (human). The record is from RNAcentral. Lineage: Eukaryota; Metazoa; Chordata; Mammalia; Primates; Hominidae.